This 249-nucleotide unclassified non-coding RNA is filed under the name Hevea brasiliensis (rubber tree). The record is from RNAcentral. Lineage: Eukaryota; Viridiplantae; Streptophyta; Magnoliopsida; Malpighiales; Euphorbiaceae.
UUCUUAAGCAAGCCCGACAACACUGCAAAAACAUGGGCAUAUCAGUAAUUCAGAAUAUGUCUUUAGAGGUUAAUAGGUUAAUAUUGCAACACCCAAAAAUACUCAACUAUGGCCAAUGUGCUUGAUACCAUGUUAGUAAGGUAAGGGCACCGGUCAAAACAUUCUCUGAUGAUUUUGAACACAAAAUGCCCAUUAAUGAGUAUGCCCAUUUACGAGUGAAAUAGAGUUUAAAAUCUAUCGGCAUAUGGA